This 253-nucleotide ribosomal RNA is filed under the name uncultured bacterium. RNAcentral's name for it is "partial 16S ribosomal RNA". It matches the Rfam family "Bacterial small subunit ribosomal RNA", at positions 524 to 776 of the family's 1533-position model. The record is from RNAcentral.
GACGUAGGGGGCCAGCGUUGCUCGGAAUUACUGGGCGUAAAGGGUUCGUAGGCGGUGCGGCAAGUCGGACGUGAAAUCUCUGGGCUUAACUCAGAGGCUGCUCCCGAAACUGCCGUGCUUGAGUGCGGGAGAGGCGAGUGGAAUUGCAGGUGUAGCGGUGAAAUGCGUAGAUAUCUGCAGGAACACCCGUGGCGAAGGCGGCUCGCUGGGACGUGACUGACGCUGAGACGCGAAAGCGUGGGGAGCAAACAGG